Non-coding RNA from Microcebus murinus (gray mouse lemur), 386 nucleotides. The record is from RefSeq and is a predicted model, not a curated record. NCBI's taxonomy places the organism in Eukaryota, Metazoa, Chordata, Mammalia, Primates, Cheirogaleidae.
UCCUAACUUACCUGCUCCUUGUUUUACAGCAUAAAAAUCAAUGCCUUUUCAUUUCCAAAUACUUCAUUAGCCUUUGUGCCCGGAGUGGGAAUCAAAGCGCUGACCAACCAUGGCACUGCCAACAUCAGCACGAAUUGGGAAAUCAAGUCUCCACUCUUCCAAGAUGCGGGAGGAGCUGAUCUCUUUCUCUCGGCGAUCUACUUUACUGGUAUUGUUAUCCUGACCCGAGAUGUCUCUGGUCAUCCAACCCUGAAGCUCCAGGACUGCUAUGCCCAAGUGAGCCACGCCCACGUCUCAUUUUCUGGAGAGCUCAGUGUCCUAUACAACUCCUUUGCUGAGCCCAUGGAAAAACCUAUUUUAAAGAACAUAAAUGAAAUGGUAAGUCC